This is a long non-coding RNA of Oxyura jamaicensis (ruddy duck), 804 nucleotides long. RefSeq lists it as uncharacterized. NCBI's taxonomy places the organism in Eukaryota, Metazoa, Chordata, Aves, Anseriformes, Anatidae. The record is from RefSeq and is a predicted model, not a curated record. The transcript is spliced from 3 exons.
GGAGGAGGGAGACCGGCAGAAAGGAGGCUCUUCCUCCUGAAAAAUAGAAAAUGCGCUUUUAAUCCUAAUGAAGAAGCGCCCUGGGAAGUCCUGCAAACAAACAGGACGCCAGGGAACAAAGCACGAGGCGCUGGCGCAGCGUUAUUAGCCUGGAUUAGCGAGGGGCGGUAAGAGCCACGCGGGGAAGGUGUGACUCCUCGUUAAGACUGCUCUACCGAAAGCUCCCGCUCUGCCUGCAGCCGCUGCCUCGAUCUCAGCCUAGUAGUUCUGAGCUGUGAUUUCAAAAUGCACAAUCUCUUUAAAAAGUAAAACAGCAAAAAAUCUCUCGACCACUUCUGCUCCAAAGCCAAAGCUUGGCCAGGGGAUACCAGGGAAACUGGAGUGAAGAUAUGCCUGUUUGCUUUGAGGUAGGAAAGCCCUCUGCUGGUUAACAUAAACUAAUUAACACACUAAUCUGAAUGUUUUUGUAGAUAACAGAACCACACACACACACACAAAAAGGAGAGAGUGGUUAAGGAAGAAGCAGAGAAAAAUCAUCGGUGAUCUCAGAAAUUGUCAUUCUUCAGCUUACUUACUAGACCCAUAAAAAUGCGAAGGGUGUGUUUUCUUUUUUUUUCUUCCUUUUUUUUUUUUUUCUGUUUGUAACUUUAAACACUCUGGCUUACAAAAUACAUACUUUAAUAAACGUUACUAGUUAUUUGCAAUUAUCAAGUGCAAAAAAGGAACUUCAGAACCCAGUGAGAUGCAUGGGCAGACUUGAGUGCUCCAACACUGAAAAAGCUGUUUAUAUACACGUUAUAACAA